RNAcentral lists this long non-coding RNA (902 nucleotides) under Rosa chinensis. RNAcentral describes it as "sRNA RchiOBHm_Chr4g0409171". The record is from RNAcentral. Lineage: Eukaryota; Viridiplantae; Streptophyta; Magnoliopsida; Rosales; Rosaceae.
AUGUUGUCUAAUAUUUUCAGUUCAGACAACAUCUUUUGUUGUCUGGUUAAAAUUUAUUCUGCUCUAGUUGACUUAUAUACAUCUCAACACUUGGGACAAAAUUAAAAAUUAAAACUUCCCUCUACUUUUGCCCUCCCAAAACAAUUGAGCCCGCCCUCAGCUCAAACUCUUUCCCAAAAACCCAAGCCAUCAUCACCUCUCUCUCCCAAAAUCGUUGUCCUCGACGAUCUCACCUCUCUCUCUCUAGAUCCAAAGUCCUGACCUCUCUCUCAUCAAUCAGCCCUAUGCCAAUAAACUCUCAGUCUUCUUUCUCACUCAUCCAUCCACAUCUCAAUCGAAGCUUUGUAGUCGUCUCCCUCAAUCGAAGCGUUGGAGGUUCUUGAAGCUAACUGCUCCCUCUUUGAGCAAGGAGUAUAUAUAAGCUUAUUUAUGGUGGAGGAGUAUAACCUUAUUGCACGUUGGUGGAGGAGUAUAAGCUGAAAUGGACAAAUCAUGGAUGCAUGGUGACAGAAGAUCGCGAGAUUUUCAGUUAGGGGUUGAAGAGAUGAUUCAGUUUGCAUUAGAGAAUGGUUGUGAUGUUAAUAGAAUAUCUUGACCUUGUUUGAAUUGUGCGCACGUUAACUAUCAUAAGGCUAGGGUUGUGAAAGAUCAUUUAGUCGAGUUUGGCAUAUAUAGAACAUACACAAAAUGGAUUAACCAUGGGGAAAAUUCAGAGAAUGAAGGGUAUUCAGAAACUAUAGAGAUGGAACCUAAUCACAUAGGUAUAGGGGGGCACGAUGAUGAGAAGUUUUCAGAAGACUCUGAUGAGUUUUUGAGGUUUGUCGAUGAUGGUGAUAAACCUCUUUACCCAGGUUGUACCCGUUUUACAAAGUUGAAUGGACAUGUUAAAACGUAUAAUCUGA